ACAAGGUAAGAUAGUUGGUUUGUCAAGGUGUAUGUUAUUUUUCGAAAUAAUAUUUUGAGACAGUGAAAUAGUUGAAAACUUUUCAACAACAUUUAUUCAUAAAUUGGAAAUGGAAAACGAAUUGUACUUAAAGAGGUACUCUGUCAAACAAAAUAUUCUGAGCAUCCACAUAGCAUUAUGCCAUCAAGACCGGUUCCACUAUGGCAAGCUGAUGCAUGGGGAUGGGCAAAAAACGGAUAUUAACCGGGCCGUGGUAUGUUUUUUCACUGAACAGGGUACCAAUAAUAUGUUCACUCCGCUCCGAAACUAAAUUCGAUUAAUGGGACAUAGUUACUAAAUGUGUGCGUGUAUCAGUCCAUUUGCGGUGUGGUAGAAAAAAUCUAGUAUCUCCUCCAAGACUAUCAGAUAUUAUACUGCAUUGUACAAAGUUGUAUAAAGAACCGGUUACGAUGUGUAUUCCGAAGCAAACUUACUAUACACGUACAUACGAUAUAGAUACUUAUAUAAUAUGAUUACGUACCUAUUGCGUAAUAUUGUUAUUAACGUGGGUAAGUAUACCCUAUCGCUAUACCUAUGCAUUAUAUUAUAAACGUGUUCAAUACACUGCAUCACGGUUAUGUAGAUAACCGUGAACUGCAUUCAUACAAAAAGAUUUAAGGAUUGAGGUAUUUCUAAUAUAAUAAUAAUGUGUUUAUGUAUAUCGACAUGAUAAUAAACGCGUCGAGAAAACCCUGUCAAAUGACGCAAAACAUCCCUCGCCAACAGCUGAUAAAUAUUAUAUUUUAUCUACGGUAGUAUUCUUCACAGCCUUCAUAAACCAUAUAAGUAAUGUAUUAAAAUAUGUAUGUACAAAAGCUUUAAAUCUAAGACUAGUUGCUUAUAGAAUUGCUCGAGAGCACAUAUUUAAAUCGGUUCAAAGCUAACAUAAUACCAUU
Molecule: long non-coding RNA, 935 nt
Organism: Rhopalosiphum maidis (corn leaf aphid)
Lineage: Eukaryota; Metazoa; Arthropoda; Insecta; Hemiptera; Aphididae
Exons: 3
Source: RefSeq, a predicted model, not a curated record